CCAAACGUUCGAUCGAGGGAGACAGAGGUGAGGCGGACUUAGGGUGAGGCGGUGAAUGCGUGAUAUCUAAGAACACCAGGGGCGAAAGCGCUCACUGGGUCUCUCUGACGCUGAGGCACGAAAGCUAGGGGAGCGAACGGGAUUAGAUACCCCGGUAGUCCUAGCCGUAAACGAUGAGCACUGGAUCGAAGGGUCCUCCAUAGCUUUUGUCGUAGCGAAAGUGUUAAGUGCUCCGCUGGGGAGUAUGGUCGCAAGGGCUGAAACUCAAAAGAAUUGACGGGGGCUCACACAAGCGGUGGAGGAUGUGGCUCAAUUCGAGGCUACGCGAAGAACCUUAUCCUAGUCUUGACAUGCACGGAUUAACUCCCUGAAAGGGGAGCCACGCCCGCAAGGGUGGAACGUGCACAGGUGCUGCAUGGCUGUCGUCAGCUCGUGUCGUGAGAUGUCGGGUUAAGUCCCUUAACGAGCGAAA
Molecule: ribosomal RNA, 472 nt
Filed under: uncultured bacterium
Lineage: Bacteria
Description: bacterial SSU rRNA
Rfam family: Bacterial small subunit ribosomal RNA
Source: RNAcentral